GACGAAGGGGGCUAGCGUUGUUCGGAAUUAUUGGGCGUAAAGGGUAGGUAGGUGGUCUUAUUUGUCUGGGGUGAAAGCCUUGAGCUUAACUCGAGAAGUGCCUCAGAAACGGUAAGACUGGAGUCCUGGAGAGGGUCGUAGAAUUCCCGGUGUAGCGGUGAAAUGCGUAGAGAUCGGGAGGAACACCAGAGGCGAAGGCGGCGACCUGGACAGGAACUGACACUCAACUACGAAAGCGUGGGGAGCAAACAGG
This 253-nucleotide ribosomal RNA is filed under the name uncultured bacterium. Its description in RNAcentral is "partial 16S ribosomal RNA". It matches the Rfam family "Bacterial small subunit ribosomal RNA", at positions 524 to 776 of the family's 1533-position model. The record is from RNAcentral.